GCUUGUCUCAAAGAUUAAGCCAUGCAUGUCUAAGUAUAAACAACUUUAUACUGUAAAACUGCGAACGGCUCAUUAUAUCAGCAAUAAUUUAUUUGAUGGUUUCUUACCCCAUGGAUAACUGUGGUAAUUCUAGAGCUAAUACAUGCGUAAAGUCCCGACUCUUUCUGGGGAGUCAUGAUAACUGCGCGGAUCGCAUGGCCUUGCGCCGGCGACGCUUCAUUCAAAUUUCUGCCCUAUCAACUUUCGAUGGUAAGAUAGAGGCUUACCAUGGUGUUAACGGGUAACGGGGAAUUGGGGUUCGAUUCCGGAGAGGGAGCCUGAGAAAUGGCUACCACUUCCAAGGAAGGCAGCAGG
RNAcentral lists this ribosomal RNA (354 nucleotides) under uncultured fungus. RNAcentral describes it as "partial small subunit ribosomal RNA". It matches the Rfam family "Eukaryotic small subunit ribosomal RNA", at positions 30 to 432 of the family's 1831-position model. The record is from RNAcentral. Lineage: Eukaryota; Fungi.